Molecule: ribosomal RNA, 466 nt
Filed under: uncultured bacterium
Lineage: Bacteria
Description: partial 16S ribosomal RNA
Rfam family: Bacterial small subunit ribosomal RNA
Source: RNAcentral
GAUGAACGCUGGCGGCGUGCUUAACACAUGCAAGUCGAACGAAGAAGCCCAGCUUGCUGGGUGGAUUAGUGGCGAACGGGUGAGUAACACGAGAGUAACCAGCCCUUGACUAUGGGAUAAGCCUGGUAAACUGGGUGUAAUGAAGGAUAUGAAUUCUAAUCGCAUGGAGGGGGGAGGAGAGAUAUAUGGGUCUUGGGUGGACUCGCGGCUUAUCAGCGUGUUGGUGAGGUAAUGGCUAACCAAGGCGACGACUGGGAGACGGCCGGAGAGGGUGACCGGCCACCCUGCGCCUGCGAGACGCCGCAGUCUCCUACGGUACGCAGCAGUGGGGAAUAUUGCACAAUGGGCCCACGUCUGAUGCAGCGAUGCCGCGUUCGUGAUGCCGUCCUUCUGGUUGUAAACCUCUUUCUGUAGGGAUGAAGCCGGAGUGACGGUACCUGCAGAAGAAGCGCCGGCUAACUACGUG